This 497-nucleotide ribosomal RNA is filed under the name uncultured bacterium. RNAcentral's name for it is "partial 16S ribosomal RNA". It matches the Rfam family "Bacterial small subunit ribosomal RNA", at positions 28 to 507 of the family's 1533-position model. The record is from RNAcentral.
GAUGAACGCUGGCGGCGUGCCUAAUACAUGCAAGUCGAGCGAACAGACGAGGAUCUUGCUCCUCUGACGUGAGCGGCGGACGGGUGAGUAACACGUGGAUAACCUACCUAUAAGACUGGGAUAACGUCGGGAAACCGGAUCUAAUACCGGAUAAUAUAUUGAACCGCAGGGUUCAAUAGUGAAAGACGGUUUUGCUGGCACUUAUAGAUGGAUCCGCGCCGCAUUAGCUAGUUGGUAAGGUAACGGCUUACCAAGGCAACGAUGCGUAGCCGAACUGAGAGGGUGAUCGGCCACACUGGAACUGAGACACGGUCCAGACUCCUACGGGAGGCAGCAGUAGGGAAUCUUCCGCAAUGGGCGAAAGCCUGACGGAGCAACGCCGCGUGAGUGAUGAAGGUCUUCGGAUCGUAAAACUCUGUUAUUAGGGAAGAACAAAUGUGUAAGUAACUAUGCACGUCUUGACGGUACCUAAUCAGAAAGCCACGGCUAACUACGUG